UGCACCAUGUAGAUUUUUCACAUAUAUAAUCUGUUUAACAACCCUGGGAAGUUCAUAUUAUUAUCUCCAUUUUACAUAUGGUGAAACUGAGGCUUAGAGCAGUUAAAUAAAUUGCUUAAGAUCAUAUGCCUUAUUGGUGGCAGAUCUGGAAUUUUCUAACUCAGAACCCUGUUUUUAGCUGGACAUGGUAGUACAUGCGUGUAAUCCCAGCUACUCCCUCAGGAGGCUGAGGUGGGAGGAUCACUUAAUCCCAGGAGUUUGAGUUUUCCUCACUACUCAAGUAUACCUAAGUAGGAAAUAAAACUUAUUUUAAUAUUCAUCUAAGUGAAAUAUAAAAAGAAAACCUAUAAACCUAUUCUUCAAAAAACUAUGCUAUAUUUUAAUGCCAUCCCAAAAUAUCUUGAAUUAUCUAUGGCUCAUUUCUAUACCAUUGCCCCCUUUUCUUUAAAGCUGUAGCAUAUUGAGAAUUGAAUAUGACCUUUCUGAGCCACUCAUUUCUGAAUUUUUAAUUUUAAAUAAAAAUACUUUUUCAGAUUGUUUCAGAUUUUUAGAGAGGGUAAAACAAAAUAGAAACAUAAAAUAUGAAACAUACGAGUGUAUGUAUAUAUGUGUAUGCAUAUAUAUUGAUAUAUAAAAUGAAUGCCUUAACAGAUAAUGUGCAUUACAAUUGCUGUUUCACACUUUUAUUGGUAUUAUUUUAAUUACACUCUGACAAAAAGUUCAGCAUAAAGGAAAAUUGGCCAGGGCACAGUAGUUCAUGCGUAUAACCCCAGGGCUUUGGGAGGCCAAGGCAGGAGAAUCGCUUGAGACCAGGGGUUCGAGACCAGUCUGGACAACAUAGCAAGACCCAUCGCUAGCAAAAAUUUAAAAAUUAGCCCAGCAUAGCAGCAUAUAGCUGUAGGCCUAGCUACUCAGAAGACUGAGGUGAGAGGAUUGCUUCAGCCCAAGAGUAUGAGGCUACAGUGAUCUGUGAUCGUGCCACUGCACUCCAACCUGAGUGAUGGAAUGAGACCCUGUCUCUAAAAAAAAAAGGAAAGAGGAAAAUUCUUAGAAUGUAUGCACAACUUAAUAUCCUUGCUCGUUUGA
Molecule: long non-coding RNA, 1086 nt
Filed under: Pan troglodytes (chimpanzee)
Lineage: Eukaryota; Metazoa; Chordata; Mammalia; Primates; Hominidae
Description: long non-coding RNA NONPTRT015744
Source: RNAcentral